GUUUGCAACAACAACAACAACUGUCACUGUGAUGACGGCUGGGCUCCACCCUUUUGUAAGAAAAGUGGGCGAGGUGGCAGCAAGGACAGUGGACCUGGCAGAGCUUUAAAAAGAGAAACGUUUAACCCGAUUCCUCUGGCCGUUGCAAUCAUUGCACCAGCCUUGGCACUGCCAAUUCUCAGCCUCUCCUUGCAGUGCAGAAGAAAGAAGAAAGUUAAAGCACGUGGAAGAUCUGCAGUGAAAACCGUUGGAAGUGGUCGUUCCAGAGCUCCAUUGGCUGCUUCCCCUGAAGUCCAGAGUUCCCAUCUAAAUAGUGCAGUGUGACAGUCUGAGCUGAUUCAGACAUCGACCAGAUACAACAACCCAUCCACUGUACACGAUAACUACAAGUGCCGCUCGUGAUCACACCUGUUCUCCACGUUCAUCUUGUAUUUAAACCCUGGAACAUGUGGGGAAGGUGUGCUGACCAGAGACAAUCCAUGAACACAAUCCUGUUUAAUCUGAUCGAUAUCCCACUGAAGCAAACAUUCACAGUGGGACAAGAAAGUACGAGGGUGAUCUGCUGAGCAACCGGUACUCUUCCUGAUGAUGAACUUCGGCUAUUUACUCAGCAAUAGUUCUUAUGCAGAGCGUAAACAAUAGCACACCAAGUGAUUGUUUGUGCUUUAUCAUGGGAAUACGGCUACUCCUGGCAACUUCGUGAAGAUCUAACUCUGACCAAUAAACUGAUCAAACAAUGACCAAUCCAGGACUAAAUGGAGUUGAUGGCUGAAACUUAUAUCCAAUAUAGACGGACACUUAAAUAGGCAAGGCAUAGAGGGAUGCGGUCCUAAUGUGGGCAAAUGGGGUUAAUGUAGACAGUCAAAAGGGUCGGCAUGGAUGUAAUGGGCCAAAAUGCCUGUUUCUAUGUGCAACUCUAUG
Molecule: long non-coding RNA, 921 nt
Organism: Pristis pectinata (smalltooth sawfish)
Lineage: Eukaryota; Metazoa; Chordata; Chondrichthyes; Rhinopristiformes; Pristidae
Exons: 4
Source: RefSeq, a predicted model, not a curated record